CAUGACCUUUUCCUAGCAUGAGAGGACCGGGAAGGACGCACCUUUGAUGCACCAGUUAUCGUGCCUAAAGUAAAUGUUGUGUUGCCAGGUGUGGAGAGGACAACCACUGAAAGUGUAUAAGUAGUUUAUGCGCCAUG
Non-coding RNA from Triticum urartu, 137 nucleotides. The record is from Rfam. NCBI's taxonomy places the organism in Eukaryota, Viridiplantae, Streptophyta, Magnoliopsida, Poales, Poaceae.